Molecule: ribosomal RNA, 465 nt
Filed under: uncultured bacterium
Lineage: Bacteria
Description: partial 16S ribosomal RNA
Rfam family: Bacterial small subunit ribosomal RNA
Source: RNAcentral
GACGAACGCUGGCGGCGUGCUUAACACAUGCAAGUCGAACGGUAAGGCUCCAGCUUGCUGGGGUACACGAGUGGCGAACGGGUGAGUAACACGUGGGUGACCUGCCCUGCACUUCGGGAUAAGCCUGGGAAACUGGGUCUAAUACCGGAUAGGACCGCACCGUGAGGGUGUGGUGGAAAGUUUUUUCGGUGUGGGAUGGGCCCGCGGCCUAUCAGCUUGUUGGUGGGGUAAUGGCCUACCAAGGCGGCGACGGGUAGCCGGCCUGAGAGGGUGGACGGCCACAUUGGGACUGAGACACGGCCCAGACUCCUACGGGAGGCAGCAGUGGGGAAUAUUGCACAAUGGGCGGAAGCCUGAUGCAGCGACGCCGCGUGGGGGAUGACGGCCUUCGGGUUGUAAACUCCUUUCCCCAUCGACGAAGGGUUUCUGACGGUAGAUGGAGAAGAAGCACCGGCUAACUACGUG